Molecule: long non-coding RNA, 957 nt
Organism: Anguilla rostrata (American eel)
Lineage: Eukaryota; Metazoa; Chordata; Actinopteri; Anguilliformes; Anguillidae
Exons: 2
Source: RefSeq, a predicted model, not a curated record
CAUUUGUGGAAACACCUGCUCCUCAUUGUGUCACCUGUCUGUGCUUGUUUCCUCCUCCUUAUGUAAAAGAUGGUUCCAAUAAUCGGGGGGAUGGCCAGGAGAAGGAAGAAGACAACCAGUCGGACCGGCAACUCUCGAUCAAAACACUGUGCAGGAUGCUGGCAGAGAUGUGUCAAAAAGACUACCAUAAAGAGAAGGCUACACCAGCACAACCACAGAGGGUUCUCCACAACAUGCAAACCACUGCUAAGCCUCAGGAACAGAAGAUCCAAGUUAAUGUUCGCUAAAAAGUACAUGAAAAAACUGAGUUCUGGAACAAAGUCUUAUGGACAGAUAAGAUGAGUAUUCACCUUAAUUUACCAAAGUGAUGGAAAGAAGUGUGGAACUAGGAAUAUUGAUAGGAAAGAUUAAAGUAAGAAUUCAACUUCAUUUUCUGUUGAAAGACCACUAGGGAAAUUAAAAUCUUUAAGAACGCAGAGCAGUUCAGAUGUCAAUGAAAAAACUGUGAACAACUGUAACUAUAAAGAACUGUAAAGCUAAUACUGAAAAUAUCAGAAAAGGUAUUGCUGAAACACAGUACUGCCUAUCAGCCAUAAAUGGAAUAUAAAAAUUGUGCAUCAGGGUUUUAGCGCUCUUAGUUUAAACUUUAAAGAUUAAACUAUGCAAUUUAGGCUUCCACGUGGAAGUAACUGUAUCUGUGUGGAACAAAUUCUUAAUUUUUAACCUUUCACGACUUAAAUUUAACCAUAAAUUAUGUUUGCAGCUAAAAUAUUCAAUGUGCACUAAAUAAAUAAUUUUGAUUUAAAAGUACAUACUGUCCUGAUACUAUUAUGAAUGGCAGGUAACUUCUGUUGUCUUCUAACGAAAAGGAAAGCCAGCUCUUACCAGGGAAGCUGGUGGUGUAACUGUGUGAGACAAGCUCUCCUGCACUGGAGUACACUGUAGGUUCCAAUCCAA